This 17-nucleotide transfer RNA is filed under the name Equus caballus (horse). RNAcentral's name for it is "partial transfer RNA-Thr". The record is from RNAcentral. Lineage: Eukaryota; Metazoa; Chordata; Mammalia; Perissodactyla; Equidae.
AGUCCGUGGGAGGAACG